GACAGUUUUUUCAGAUAGUCUCCCCUUCUUUUCUUAUCUAUAACAUGCCAAAAGGGAAAAAAAUUAUUAAAAAGAAAUCAGCUAGCUUAUUAUUCUUUUUGGUUUCUCCUAGCAGCAGACACAAAAAUAAUCAAAAGAGAUGUGCAAGUUAAUCUCACAUGGUAAAUUUUUCCAGUACUGAUAUUAUUGUCUCUUCUCAACUUGAUAUCCAGAAAAUUCAUGAUUUCUGAUGUCCAGGUUCACCUUUAAAACAACAAAAAAAAAGUCAUUUUCUUCCCAACCUUUUAAGUUGUGAUACUUUCUAAAUAAUAAUCAAUAGAAAUGAUAAAAGAAAUGAUAAUUGAAAAUUACUCGAUUUUUAGGAAUUAUAUAAAAAGGAAAUAAGAAACUCCCACAUCUACAAAAUAAAAUAAAAAAAGCAUGUAAAAGAUGUUGACUUAUUUGCUAAUCUUAGCUAAUUCUAGGGAUUUGAUUUGAUCUGAUUAGGAUUCUUAAUUAUGUCUGUAAUUAUUAUUUGAUUAAUUAUUUGCUUCCUAUUUAGAUAUGAUUCUUUGUGUAUAAAUAGUCAUGUAGACCAAUUGUAAAGAUUAAGAGUGAAAUACAAGAAUACUCAAAAUUUUUCCAAAAUUCUUCAUGGUAUCAUAGCCUUUUCCUGAUUUUUUGGGUCCAAAUUUAAUUUUUCUUCUUUAGGGUUUCAAAACCUUAGAUCUACCUUUUUUGGUACUAAUCUAUCUAGGAGCCUCUCAUUCUCUCACCGCCGACACCAGGAGAACCGCCGAACUGCCGCCGGACUGCCGCCGGCCGAUCAACCAGCUCCGAUGUCGGAAAAGCCUAUGCGUGAGGCUCACGCGCCACCCCUUCCCGGCGCGUGACCUGUCACUUCCUAGCGCAUGACCCAUUGUCUGUCACUGCAUCGCCGCUCCGAUCACUCCGGCGACGAUUCCGACCAUCUUUCCGGCCUUCUCGUGCUGUUACUCGGUCUUUUGGUGAAUCAAUUGGGCUUUCUUGUAUGUACAACCUUGGGUACCUCCUAUUCUUUCACGGUUCAUAAAUCUUUACUAUGGCAGAAGGUAAAAGGGUCUCGAUUCCUAAAACUCUGAUAAUCCUUCCUUGCAAAUUAGUCCCAUAAAACUUGAUGGAACCAAUUAUCUUGCUUGGUCAAAGUCUUGUUUGUUGUUCAUAAAUCUUUACUAUGGCAGAAGGUAAAAGGGUCUCGAUUCCUAACUCUGAUAAUCCUUCCUUGCAAAUUAGUCCCAUAAAACUUGAUGGAACCAAUUAUCUUGCUUGGUCAAAGUCUUGUUUGUUGUUUAUCAAGGCUAGAGGACUGCAGGAUUAUGUUACUGGUAAUAAAAAACAACCUGAUGAGAGGGAUCCAGAUUUUCCUCAAUGGGACUCGGAUAAUUGUCUUGUUAUGACAUGGUUACUGAACUCUAUGCAACCUCAUAUCUCUAAGUCCUAUUUGUUAAUUGAUACUGCUGCAAAAAUAUGGAAAGCUUUGUCCUUAACUUAUUCCAAGAUUGGGAAUGAUGCCCAAAUUUAUGAUAUUCGGAAUAAGAUUCAUGGUACUAAGCAAGGAGAAAUGACUAUCUCCCAAUUUUAUUCUGAGUUAUGUGGCUUAUAAUAGGAGCUUGAUUACUAUCAAGACUUCUAGGCAUACUGCACUGGAGAUACAGUCAAAUUUCGGAGAAUGAUUGAAAAGAAGCGGGUCUAUGAUUUUCUUGCAGGGUUGAAUAACGAAUAUGAUCCAAUUCGGGUCCAAGUGUUGGGAAGAAAUCCUUUUCCUUCUCUAGAAGAGGCCCACGCCCAUGUUCAACAAGAGGAAAGUCGUCGACAUGUUAUAUACUGCACCAGUUGAAAAGGCUGGGUUGACUACUAGUUUGAGCACACCACAACCUCCUACUAUUGAGAAAGAUCACUUACACUAUGACUAUUGUGGAAAACCGAGGCAUACCAAAGAGACUUGUUGGAAGUUACAUGGUCGUCCCACUAGAGGUCGUGGAGGAAAAUGAGGUACCUCUAGAAAUCAAGCUACUUUAGCAGAAACUGUGGAGGAGCCCUUUAAGGAGACAACAACGACUGAGUUUCUUUCCCCUAAUGAACUUCAAAGUCUCAAGCGCUUCUUGUCUCAUAUUGACACCUCUUCAUCCUCUGAUGCCACAUCUAACUUUGUAAAGUCAGGUAAUGCUUCCUCUUUUAAUAAUGUUCCAUAGAUUAUCGAUUCUGGUGCGAAUAGACAUAUGACAGGCUCUUCUAAAGGCUUUCUCAAUUAUUCUCCUUCUCUAACCAAAGACAGUGUUAGAAUUGUUGAUGGCUCUUUUACUCCCAUAUCCGGAACAGGUUCUGUUAUUUGCACAUCCAACAUUAAAUUAUCAUUUGUCCUUCAUGUUCCCCACUUUCCUGUCAACCUUUUAUCUGUCAGUGUUAUCACCAAUGCUCUUAACUAUAAAAUUGAAUUCUUUCCUGAUCAUUGUGUUAUUCAGGAUCUUCGCACAGGGAAGAGGAUUGGCAAUGGUAGGCUGCAUGAUGGCUUAUACAUGUUGGAGGGUGAUCCGGGUUCUUCGAUAUCUCAAGCCUGUUUUGGAGAAAAUAAGGAUGUCAAUCGGGAAAUAAUACAGUGGCACCGGCGGUUAGGGCAUCCAUCAUUUUUUAUCUUAGAAAAACUUUAUCCUGAUCUGUUUGCUAAAACCCAGUUUGGCUCUUUAUUUUGUGAUGCUUGUGAGUAUGCUAAACACACUAGAACAUCCUAUCCUUUGAGUCAUAAUAAAAGUCAAAUUUCUUUUGACAACUAUUCAUUCUGAUGUUUGGGAGCCUACUCAAACUGUCUCCUUAUCCGGUAAUCGAUGGUUUGUCACCUUUAUUGAUUGUUGUACUCGAAUGACUUGGGUCUAUCUGAUUAAAGCUAAAAGUGAUGUCUUUUCUUGUUUUCAAUAUUUUCAUAAGAUGGUUUGUACUCAAUUUGAUACUAAAGUGAAAAUUUUGAGAACUGAUAAUGGAAGAGAAUACAUGGAUAGUACCUUUUCUGCUUAUUUGGAGUAAUGGGAUAGUACACCAGACUAGUUGUCCUUAUACUAGUGCUCAAAAUGGCGUUGCUGAGAGAAAAAAUAGGCAUCUAUUGGAGGUAGCUCGAUCUCUUAUGUUCACCAUGAAUCUAUCCAAAGCAUAUUGGGGAGAUGCAAUCCUUAUAUCUGCUUACCUUAUAAAUAGAAUGCCUCUCAAGACCCUUGACUUUAUGAGUCCUUUAGCGGUUCUACAAGAGAAGAAUUCAUAUUGUUGAAUCCCACAUCGGUUGUGGAAAGGGGUAAUGUGCCCCUUAUAUGGGCCAUAGGCACUCCUCCCCCUUGAGCUAGCUUUUGGGGUGAGUUAGGCCUGGCCCAAAUUUAACAUGAUAUCAGAGCCUCCCCAUCCGAUGUUGGGCACCCCAUAAAUGUGCCACGCACCGGUAAAAAUUCUGGACGUGAGGGGGUGUGUUGAAUCCCACAUCGGUUGUGGAAAGGGGUAAUGUGCCCCUUAUAUGGGCCAUAGGCACUCCUCCCCCUUGAGCUAGCUUUUGGGGUGAGUUAGGUCUGGCCCAAAUUUAACACAUAUGUUGUUCCACCAAAAGUAUUUGGGUGUGUUUAUUUUGUCCAUACUAGGACGGUAGGGAAAUUGGAUCCCAAGGCCCUCAAAUGUGUGUUUGUUGGGUAUUCUCCGACACAGAAGGGAUAUAGGUGUUAUCACCCUCCCUCUAGAAAAUACUUAGUCAGUAUGGAUGUUACCUUUCGAGAAACUGAACCCUACUUCAAUACCACCCACUCACCUCUUCAGGAGGAGAAUAAUGAGCAAGAAGAGGUGAUCCCGAAUUGUGUGAUUCUGGAUAAUAUGGUUCAACUAGAGAGUUUGAGUUCUAAUCGACGGGGGAGAUGUCCAAUCAGGGAGAAAGAAUUGGUCGUUUGGACAAACCAGAUUUGAGAAGGUAUUCAAGGAGAGACAAGGCAGAAGAAGCCAUUAUGCAGUCUACUCAGAGUUAAGAAUCUUCUUCUGGUGAGUUACCCACAACUCUUGAAUGCUUCAAUGAUUUAGAUAAACCGAUUGCACAAAGAAAACGAGUUAGAUCUCGUACUAAACAUCCUCUUUCUAACUUUGUUUCUUAUGAAUCCUUGUCUCCUUCCUAUAGAGCCUUUGCCUUGCCUAUUUCCUCUGUAUCUAUUUCACAGGAUUGGAAGAAAGCUCUUGCAGAACCUAAAUGGAAGGACGCAAUGAUUGAAGAGAGGAAAGCAUUGGCUAAAAAUGAAACCUAGGAGCUUGUCACUCUUCUACCUGGAAAGAAACUCGUUGGCUGUAAGUGGGUGUUCACAGUGAAAUACAAAGCUGAUGGUACAAUCGAAUGAUUUAAGGCCAGAUUGGUUGCUAAAGAUUUCACCCAAACCUAUGGAGUGGAUUAUCAAGAGACAUUUACCCCAGUUGCAAAAAUAAAUUCAAUCAGAAUUCUAUUAUCUUGCGCGGCCAACUUGGACUGGGACUUACAACAGUUUGAUGUGAAGAAUGCUUUCCUCCAUGGAGAUUUAGAGGAAGAAGUAUUCAUGGAAAUUCCUCUUGGGUUCGCUGAUGAGAAGACACAAGGAAAGGUGUGCAAGUUAAAAAAAGCUUUGUAUGGGCUAAAACAAUCUCCCAGAGCUUGGUUUGACAGGUUUAGUGGAGCCAUGAUGUCUUUUGGUUACCAACAAAGCAAUGUUGAUCACACUUUGUUUAUCAAACAUCAUAAGGGUAAGAUCACCCUUCUUAAUGUGUAUGUUGAUGAUAUAGUGUUGACAGGUGAUGACAAAGAGGAAAUGGCUCAACUAAAGAGGUUGUUGGCUCAGGAAUUUGAAAUCAAAGAUCUGGGAAAACUGCAAUAUUUUCUAGGUAUUGAGAUGGCUAGAUCAGAAAAAGGAAUUUUCAUCUCCCAAAGAAAGUACAUUAUGGAUCCUUUGGAAGAAACUGGUAUGAUGGGGUGUAAACCAGCAGAAUCUCCAAUUGAAAGUAAUCACAAGCUGAAAGCAAGAACUGGCGAGUCCGUGGAUAUUGGAAGAUAUCAGAGAUUGGUAGGAAGGUUGAUUUAUCUCUCACAUACUCGACCGGAUAUAGCCUAUGUUGUUAGCUUAGUCAGCCAAUUCAUGCAUGACCCUCGCGAGACUCAUAUGCAAGCUGUACUUCGCAUCUUGAGAUACCUAAAGUCUACGCCAGGGAAAGUGUUUUUUUACUCCAAACAUGGUCACCUCCGAAUUGAAACUUUUACAGAUGCAGAUUGGGCAGGAUCUCUCGAUGACAGGAGAUCCACAUCUGCCUACUGCACAACUAGUGGAGGGAACCUUGUCACUUGGAGGAGUAAAAAACAAAGUGUUGUUGCUCGGUCAAGUGCGGAAGCAGAAUACAAAGCAAUGUCCCAAGGAGUGUGUAAACUCUUAUGGUUGCAGAAGUUAUUGGAAGAGUUGAGAUUGUCCGAGAGAGACAAGAUAACCUUGUAUUGUGACAAUAGAGCUGCUAUAAGUAUAGCACAAAAUCCAGUCCAACAUGACCGAACAAAAUACAUUGAAAUUGAUCGGCACUUCAUUAAAGAAAAAUUAACGGACGGUGUCUUGAGCCUAGUUCAUGUGACUUCUACUGAGCAACUUGCGGAUGUGUUUACUAAAUGGCUUAACAACAAGAUCUACCAUAAUCUGAUUUGCAAGUUGGGCAUGUGUGACAUCUUUGCACCAAUUUGAGGGGGAGUGUUGACUUUUUAGCUAAUCUUAGCUGAUUCUAGGAAUUUGAUUGGAUCUGAUUAGGAUCCUUAAUUAUCUCUGUAAUUAUUAUUUGAUUAAUUAUUUGAUUCUUGUUUAAAUAUGAUUCUUUGUGUAUAAAUAGUCAUCUAGACCAAUUAUAAAGAUUAAGAGUGAAAUUGACAAGAAUACUCAAAAUUUUCUCAAAAUUCUUCAAAAGAAAAUGAAUUUGAAACAGGAAAAAGUUAAUUAUGAUCAUAAAUUGCAAAAUUUACCUUUUGUAUAUGGAUUUCUCCAUAAUAUCAACAAAAAACAAUUUUUUUUCCAUUUACUUAAAAGAGAAGGAAUGAAAGAAGAGGAAGAGACCUAUCUGAUGAAAAUAACACGAAUACUAAAAAUCAACUACUAACCACUAACCACAAACUCUUAACCCUAACCCUAACCUUAACCCUAUACUAACCCUAACACUUCACAAAUACUUAACAAACACUUCACAAACACAUAACAAACACUUCACAAACACUUAACAAAAACUUCAAAAACACUUAACAAACAAUAAACACUUGAACAUCAUACGUAAACUUCACACAUAAGUGUUUAUACAAAUACUUAAAAAACAGUUAACAAAUACUUUAACAAACACUUCACAAACACUUAACAAACACUAACAUUUAAGCAUCACACUUCACACUUAAAUACUAAACACCUUAACACACAAACAUACUCACACGCUUCAAACUUAACAAACAUUAACACUUAAACAUUACACUUCAUACUUUCACACUUAAAAAAUUAAACAUUUAACACUUAAACACACAAAUAAACUUACACACUCGUACACUUCAACAAACACUUAUACGUAACAAAAACUUAACAAAACACUUCAAAAAUACUGCACAAGGAUUUAACAAAUACUAACACUUGACAAACAGUAAUACUUAAAUAUCACACUUCACACUUAACACCUAAACACACAAACACUUUAACAGUACACACUUCACACCAUUUCACACUACACACUUCACACUUAAACAAAUAUUUUAACACUUUACGCUUCAAUAAACACUUUAACUUUUAACACCUUAACACUUCACACUUCACACUUCACAAACACUACCAUUCACCAAACACUACAACUUAAACAUCACACUUCACACAUAAGUAUUAACACCUUAACAGCUAAAUACACUUAAAAAAAACGUAACAAAUACUUCACAAACACUUAACAAACUAAUACCUAAGCAUCACACUUCACACCUUCACACUUAAACACCCCAACACACAAACACACUCACACACUUCACACUUAAGAAACACUAACACUUAAACAUCACACUUCACACUGCACGCUUUCACACAUAAACACUUAAACACCUAAACACUUAACACCUUAAGACCUAACUUUACAUACUUCACACGCUUCACACACUUCACACUUAAGAAACAAUAACACUUAAACAUCACACUUCACACUGCACAUUUUCACACGUAAACACCUAAACACCUAACUUAACACUUCACACACUUCACACUUCACACACUUCACAAACUUCACACUCUUCACAUUUCACACACUUCACACUCUUCACAACACCUAACUUCACACUUCACACACUUCACACUUCACACUUCACACUACACUUCACAUACAAUACACACACACUUUAAACUUCACACUCCACACUCUUCGCACUUCGCACUUCGCACUUCGCACUUCGCACUUCGCACUUCGCACUUCGCACUUCGCACUUCGCACUUCGCACUUCGCACUUCGCACUUCGCACUUCGCACUUCGCACUUCGCACUUCACACACUUCACGCUCUUCAUACUCUUCACAACACCUAACUUCAUAUUUCACACACUUCACACACUUUACACACUUUACACUUCACACACAAUUCACACACACUUCACACUUCACACUUCACACUCUUUGCACUUCACAUUUCACACUUCACACUCAUCACACUUGACACUCAUCACACUUGACACUUGACACUUCACACAUUUCACACUUCACACGUCACGCACUUGAACACUUUACACCCAUCACAAUUCACACUUCACACACUUCACACUUCCCCAAUUCCCGCACUUUGCACUUUGUCACACUUUGUCACAAUUCAAAUUUGUCAAACAUUUACACUUCACACAGCACACUUCACAUUUCACACUUUUCACACACUUCACAACAAGUGCUGAACAAAAUACUUACAAAACACUUCAAAAACACAUCUCAAGGACUUAACAAACAAUAACACUUAAAUAAACACUUAAAAAUCACACUUCACUAUUUACACCAAAACACCCAAACACAAACACUUAACCACUUCAAACCACUUCACCCUUCACACUACACACUUCAUACUUUAAAACAAAUACUUAAGCAUUUCAUACUGAAAUAAUUACUUUAACAUUCCACACAUGAACACAAACACACAAACACUUCACACUUGAACACUUAAUAGCUUAAAACAAACACCUUUAACACCUAAACACACAAACACACAAACACUUCACAAGUAAAUAAACACUUCACAAACAAUUACACUUAACUAACACAUAUAAAACACUUCACUAACAGUUAACAAACACUAACACUUAAAAAUUACACUUCACACUUAAAAAAAACACUUUAACACUUUAACGCUUAAACACACACUUUAACACUUAACACUUAAGCACACACUUUAGCACUUCACACUCAACACUUAACCACACACUUUAACACUUUAACGCUUAAACACACACUUUAACACUUAACACUUAAACACACACUUUAGCACUUCACACUCAACACAUAAACACACACUUAAACACUUAACACUUCAACACCUUAACACCUAAAUACCCAAACACCCAAAUACCCCAACACUAAUUGAUUUUAUAUGUACUAUUCCUAGAGAACUUACAUUUACAUUAUAAUAUAGGAAAGAGACUGAUUCAAGUAUAUAAUUUCUAUGAAUAAAAUUAUAUUUCAAAAACAUGUUUAAAUGCAAAACGAAAUUUAAAAAAUUAAAAAUUACAAAAAACCUUUAUCCUACCCCGCACUCUAAUAUAUAGAAGUAAGAAACUCUAUUACUUCAAUAAGAAUUAGAAAGCACCCGUCAAGUUUUGGCUUCAACUUCAUCUACUACCAAUAUAUUGUUGUGUAGUGCCAACUGUGCUUCUUCUAUCUGCAAACAAAAGAGUGAUUUAUGAGAAAAUAGAUAUCAACUGCAAAAUAAAGCUAGACCACUCAACUUGCAUCAUCAUAUGAAUUUAUAAAUACAUAUGCUUUUACCAACUCAAUAUGAUAAUUGACCUAGAACCUUGAUAAAUGGCAUGGACUCAAAAUCUCCUGCAAGCAUGAAAGUUGGUCGUAACAAACAGAAAAUUUUGAAAAUAAAUGUUACUGUCAUUUAUUAUAACUGUACCUAGAGUGUCAUCCAAUUCAAUGACACAUAUCUGCAGGUCCAGGCAUGCCUUCCACUGGUAUCAUUGUUACGCGUCCAAUCCACUUUUGAAUAGCAUCUAUAACGUGAGGAACAAUCUAUAGGUAGCAACAUUACACAAAGGCUAUUGCAAGCCACAAUAGCUGAUGGGUUCAAUAGUUAUUAAAUACCUGGACAGUUUUUUCAGAUAGUCUCCCCUUCUUUUCUUAUCUAUAACAUGCCAAAAGGAAAAAAAAUUAUUAAAAAGAAAUCAGCUAGCUGAUUAUUAUUUUUGAUUUCUCCUAGCAGCAGACACAAAAAUAAUCAAAAAAGAUGUGUAAGUUAAUCUCACCUAGUACAUUUUUUCAGUACUGAUAUUAUUGUCUCUUCUCAACUUGAUAUCCAAAAAAUUCAUAAUUUCUGAUGUCCAGGUUCACCUUUCAAACAACAAAAAAAAGUCAUUUUCUUCCUAACCUUUUAAGCAGUGAUACUUUCUAAACAAUAAUUAAUAGAGAUAAUAAAAGAAAUGAUAAUUAAAAAUUACUCGCCUUUUAGGAAAUAAGAAACUCCCACAUGUACAAAAUAAAAUCAAAAAAGCAUGUAAAAGAAAAUGAAUUCCAAACAGGAAAAAGUUAAUUAUGAUCAUAAAUUAGAAAAUUCACUUUUUGUAUAUGGAUUUCUCGAUAAUAUCAACAAAAAAAGACAAUUUUUUUUUCCUUUUACUUAAGAGUGGAGGAAGGAAGGAAUAGGAAGAGACCUAUUUAAUGAAAAUAACACGAAUACUAAAAAUCAACUACUAACUACUAACCACAAACUUACACACUUGUACACUUCAACAAACACUUGUACGUAACAAAAACUUAACAAAACGCUUCAAAAAUACUGCACAAAGACUUAACAAAUACUAACACUUAACAAACAAUAAAACUUAAAUAUCACAUUUCACACUUAACACCUAAACACACAAACACUUUAACAGUACACACUUCAAACCACUUCACACUACACAUUUCACACUUAAACAAACAUUUUAACACUUCACGCUUAAAUAAACACUAACUUUUAACACCUUAACACAAACACUUCACAUUUCACAAACACUACCAUUUACCAAACACUACAACUUAAACAUUACACUUCACACAUAAGUACUUCACACCCUUAGAGCUUAAUACAGUUAAAAAAAACGUAACAAAUACUUUACAAACACUUAACAAACUAACACCUAAGCAUCACACUUCACACCUUUACACUUUCACACUUAAACACAUAACAACUUAACACACAAAUACACUCACACACUUCACACUUAAGAAACACUAACACUUAAAUAUCAUACUUAACACUGCACGCUUUCACAAAUAAAUACUUAAACACCCAAACACUUAACACCUAACUUCACAUACUUCACACGCCUCACUAUUCACACUUAACAAACAAUAACACUUAAACAUCAUACUUUACACUGCACAUUUUCACACGUAAAUACCUAAACACUUAACACCUUAAUACCUAAACACCUAACUUAACACUUCACACACUUCACAAACUUCACACUCUUCACACUUCACACACUUCACACUCUUCACAACUCCUAACUUCACACUCUUCACACUUCACACAUCACACUUCACACUCUUCGCACUCCGCACUCUUCGCACUCCGCACACUCCGCACUCCGCACUCCGCUCCGCACUCCGCACGCCGCACGCCUUUCUCUCUCCAAAGCACUCUUCACAACACCUAACUUCAUACUUCACACACUUUACACUCUUCACACUCCGCACUCCGCACUCCGCACUCCGCACUCCGCACUCUUCACACUCUUCACAACACCUAACUUCAUACUUCACACACUUUACACUCUUCACACUUCACACUUCACACACAUCACACACACUUCACACUUCACACUUCUCACUCUUUACACUUCACAUUUCACACUUUACACUCGUCACACUUCACAAUUCACAAUUGGCACUUCACACACUCGAACACUUCAUACUCGUCACACUUCACACUUCACACUAUUCACACUUCCCGCACUUUGCACAUUGUCACACUUUGUCACACUUCACAUUUGUCACACACUUCACACUUCACACAUUUCACACACUUCACACUUUACACUUCACACAACACACUUCACACUUUUCACACACUUCACAAUAAGCGCAAAACAAAAUACUUACAAAACACUUCUCAAAGACCUAACAAACAAUAACACUUAAAUAAACACUUAAAAAUCACACUUCACGCUUUACACCAAACCACCCAAACACACAAACACUUAACCACUUCAAACCACUUCACCCUUCAUACUACACACUUCACACUUUAAAACAAAUACUUAAGCAUUUCAUACUUAAAUAAAUACACUAACAUUUAACACCUAAACACAAACACACAAACACUUCACACUUAAACACUUAAUAGCUCACCACAAACACCUAAACACACAAACAAUUACACUUAACAAACAAUUACAAAACACUUCACCAACAGUUAACAAACACUAACACUUAAAAAUUACACAUCACACUUAAAAAAAACACUUUAACACUUUAACACUUAAACACACACUUUAACACUUAACACCUAAGCACACACUUUAGCACUUCACACUCAACACAUAAACACACACUUUAACACUUAACGCUUCAAUACCUAAACACCUAAAUACCUAAACACCCAAACACCUCAACACUAAUUGAUUUUAGAUGUACUAUUCCUAGAGAACUUAUAUUUAUAUUAUAAUAUAGGAAAGAGACUUAUUCAAGUAUAUAAUUUCUAUGAAUAAAAUUAUAUUUCAAAAACAUGUUUAAAUGCAAAACGAAAUUUAAAAAUUUAAAAAUUACAAAAAAUCAUUAUCCUGCCACGCACUCUAAUAUAUAGAAAUAAGAAGCUCUUUUACUUCAAUAAAAAUUAGAAAGCACCCGUCAAGUUUUGGCUUCCUCUUCAUCUACUACCAAUAUAUUGUUGUGUAGUGCCAACUGUGCUUCUUCUAUCUGCAAACAAAAGAGUGAUUUAUGAGAAAACAGAGAUCAACUGCAAAAUAAAGCUAGAGCACUCAAUUUGCAUCAUCAUAUGAAUUUAUAAAUCCAUAUGCUCUUACCAACUCAAUAUGAUAAUUAACCUAGAACCUUGAUAAAUGGCAUGGAUUCAAAAUCUCCUGCAAGCAUAAAAGCUGAUCGUAACAAACAGAAAAUUUUGAAAAUAAAUGUUACUGUCAUUUAUUGUAACUGUACCUAGAGUGUCAUCCAAUUCAAUGACACAUAUCUGUAGGUCCAGACAUGCCUUCCACUGGUAUCAUUGUUACGCGUCCAAUCCACUUUUGAAUAGCAUCUAUAACAUGAGGAACAAUCUAUAGGUAGCAACAUUACACAAAGGCUAUUGCAAGCCACAAUAGCUUAUGGGUACAACAGUUAUUAAAUAUCUGGAGAGUUUUUGUCAGAUAGUCUCCCCUUCUUUUCUUAUCUAUAACAUGCCAAACGGGAAAAAAAUUAUUAAAAAGAAAUCAGCUAGCUGAUUAUUCUUUUUGGUUUCUCCUAGUAGGAGACACAAAAAUAAUCAAAAGAGAUGUGCAAGUUAAUCUCACCUGGUAAAUUUUUCCAGUACUGAUAUUAUUGUCUCUUCUCAACUUGAUAUCCAGAAAAUUCAUAAUUUCUG
This 12800-nucleotide long non-coding RNA is filed under the name Manihot esculenta (cassava). RNAcentral's name for it is "long non-coding RNA (MESC_LNC007570)". Lineage: Eukaryota; Viridiplantae; Streptophyta; Magnoliopsida; Malpighiales; Euphorbiaceae. The record is from RNAcentral.